Molecule: ribosomal RNA, 497 nt
Filed under: uncultured bacterium
Lineage: Bacteria
Description: partial 16S ribosomal RNA
Rfam family: Bacterial small subunit ribosomal RNA
Source: RNAcentral
GACGAACGCUGGCGGCGUGCCUAAUACAUGCAAGUUGAGCGCUGAAGGGGGGGACUGGUACCAACUGGAUGAGCAGCGAAGGGGUGAGUAACGCGUGGGGAAUCUGCCUUUGAGCGGGGGACAACAUGGGGAAACGAAUGCUAAUACCGAAUAAAAACUGUAAAAACAAGGUUUAAGUCUGAAAGAGGCAAUUGCAUCACGCAAAGAUGAGCCCGCGUUGUAUUAGCUAGGUGGUGAGGUAAAGGCGCACCAAGGCGAUGAUACAUAGACGACCUUAGAGGGUGGUCGGCCCACAUGGGACUUGGACCCCGCCCCACAUCCUUCGGGGGGCAGCAGUAGGGGAUCUUCGGACAUAGACGAAAGUCCGACCGCGCCACGCCGCGGGAGGGAAGAAGGUUCUCGGGUCGUAAAACUCUGUUGGUCGGGAAGAACGUUGGUGGGAGUGGAACGCUCGUCAAGUGACGGUACCUAACCAGAAAGGGCCGGCUAACUACGUG